GAUAUUUGUACGGUUGAAAUUUUAUUAAUAAUCAAUUUACGAAUCUUAAUUAAUCCGUACGACCAUUAAUACAAGACUAAAAUCCAAAAAACAAUCCACGUGUAUCCACGUCACAAAUCAUAUAGAGUAAAAUCCAUCCUUAUCAUCAUUUACAAACAUACGUACUACGUACGUAUAGUACGUACGAUAACAACAUGCAUGCAUGCAAAAAAGUAGGUUAUUAUUUAUUUAUUUUUGGAAAGAGACAGUAAAAAGUAAUGAUUAAUAACUGAUAAUAACGGCGAUGAUCGGCGGGAAGAAUGAGCUAGUUAACGGAUGACGAAUUCGUAUAAAUCGGGAUCGGUGAUGUUGGAAAUGAAAGCGUUGUAGUAGUAAAGAUCCCGCCGGUCAACUUGGCCAGAAGGCCACAUGGUUAUGUUGAUGAUGGUUGCUGCGCGUGGCGGUCCGUAGGGCCAUUUGGUGUGACCUAUGAAGUAGGUGAUUCGCGUCGCCGACUCGAACCUAAUUGAGUAGAAGACAAUCAUCUUGGAGAAGUUAAUUGCUCGGGUUGAUUUCUUGCUUUCUUGGCCCAGUUACGACGUUUGUAACAAGAUGAAAUUAGAGAACCGGAAGUUAAUUAGAAGAAGAAAUUAAC
Molecule: long non-coding RNA, 634 nt
Filed under: Zostera marina
Lineage: Eukaryota; Viridiplantae; Streptophyta; Magnoliopsida; Alismatales; Zosteraceae
Description: long non-coding RNA (ZMAR_LNC003062)
Source: RNAcentral